RNAcentral lists this ribosomal RNA (256 nucleotides) under uncultured Carnobacteriaceae bacterium. RNAcentral's name for it is "partial 16S ribosomal RNA". It matches the Rfam family "Bacterial small subunit ribosomal RNA", at positions 547 to 802 of the family's 1533-position model. The record is from RNAcentral. Lineage: Bacteria; Bacillati; Bacillota; Bacilli; Lactobacillales; Carnobacteriaceae.
GGAUUUAUUGGGCGUAAAGCGAGCGCAGGCGGUUCUUUAAGUCUGAUGUGAAAGCCCCCGGCUCAACCGGGGAGGGUCAUUGGAAACUGGAGAACUUGAGUGCAGAAGAGGAGAGUGGAAUUCCACGUGUAGCGGUGAAAUGCGUAGAUAUGUGGAGGAACACCAGUGGCGAAGGCGACUCUCUGGUCUGUAACUGACGCUGAGGCUCGAAAGCGUGGGGAGCAAACAGGAUUAGAUACCCUGGUAGUCAAGGGCG